This 427-nucleotide ribosomal RNA is filed under the name uncultured bacterium. RNAcentral describes it as "bacterial SSU rRNA". It matches the Rfam family "Bacterial small subunit ribosomal RNA", at positions 355 to 774 of the family's 1533-position model. The record is from RNAcentral.
UGGGGAAUUUUGGACAAUGGGCGCAAGCCUGAUCCAGCAAUGCCGCGUGCAGGAUGAAGGCCUUCGGGUUGUAAACUGCUUUUGUACGGAGCGAAAAGGUCUGCCCUAAUACGGUGGGCCCAUGACGGUACCGUAAGAAUAAGCACCGGCUAACUACGUGCCAGCAGCCGCGGUAAUACGUAGGGUGCGAGCGUUAAUCGGAAUUACUGGGCGUAAAGCGUGCGCAGGCGGUUAUGUAAGACAGAGGUGAAAUCCCCGGGCUCAACCUGGGAACUGCCUUUGUGACUGCAUGGCUAGAGUGCGGCAGAGGGGGAUGGAAUUCCGCGUGUAGCAGUGAAAUGCGUAGAUAUGCGGAGGAACACCGAUGGCGAAGGCAAUCCCCUGGGCCUGCACUGACGCUCAUGCACGAAAGCGUGGGGAGCAAACA